Molecule: long non-coding RNA, 869 nt
Organism: Nannospalax galili (Upper Galilee mountains blind mole rat)
Lineage: Eukaryota; Metazoa; Chordata; Mammalia; Rodentia; Spalacidae
Exons: 2
Source: RefSeq, a predicted model, not a curated record
CCUGACAUUUGAUAUCAGGGCUAGGAAUCUGAGGCUAGACACACCAUAGGCCAUAGGUGAAGACAUCAUACAACUAUUCUUUUAAAUAGAUACAGUAUUAAACUAAUUUCUAAUGAUUUGCUCUUAUACCCAUAGCGCAUAUUUCAACUCUCAGGAGAAAAGUACCAUUAUACAGCAGAUGGUGAUUGACACAGAGUACUUAAACUGGCCAAAAUUCAGAGAAUAAGAGGCUACAGACUGGUUAUUCUUGAAUAGGACACCUAUAUGAAACUUUUGCCUCUGAAAGCACAACAAUCAUUACAAAGGAGGGGUAGAUAGAUUGUGAGAACUAAAUGAGGUGGGGGAUCCCAUGGAAGCAAAUUUUCCUGACAGCAGAUCAUAUUAAUUUUACAGCAAAGCUGACAGCAUGGAGACCUCACAAUUCCAGCACAGCACAGACAUGGGGAAGAACUCUGACCCUACCUGAGGAACUACUAGCAACCAAUGACUGCUGGGAAGGGGUGAUUCAGUCUAACUUCAGCCUGAGACACUUAGUAGGCUGGCGAAGCUCCAGUAGAUGAACCAACAAAAGGAUUGGACUUGUCACACAAAGAUCAGAGUAGCCCAAUGACAUGCCACUUUGGAAGAAGAUCUAAGACUCUCUCCAUGAUUUGCUGUUAUUUCUUCAUGCCCUGUCAAUCCUAAAAGUGCAACGGUAGAGCCUCCAGCAUCCUGAGUCACUAGUGAAGGGAACAAAGCAGCUCCGCACACCAGGAGUAAGAAGUGACUCAGCUCUUUUCAGAUGCUGCAGUUCAGAAUGUGUCGCUCCCUUUAAAGACUACUGAAGGUGUGAAUGUUUUAUUCCGAUGAAAGAAAAAAGCAAAUAAGCA